RNAcentral lists this ribosomal RNA (253 nucleotides) under uncultured bacterium. Its description in RNAcentral is "partial 16S ribosomal RNA". It matches the Rfam family "Bacterial small subunit ribosomal RNA", at positions 524 to 776 of the family's 1533-position model. The record is from RNAcentral.
UACGUAGGUGGCAAGCGUUGUCCGGAAUUAUUGGGCGUAAAGCGUGCGCAGGCGGUCUCGCAAGUCCGAUGUGAAAUCCCCGGGCUCAACCUGGGAACUGCGUUGGAAACUACGAGGCUGGAGUACGGCAGAGGGGGGCGGAAUUCCACGUGUAGCAGUGAAAUGCGUAGAUAUGUGGAGGAACACCGAUGGCGAAGGCAGCCCCCUGGGCUAGUACUGACGCUCAUGCACGAAAGCGUGGGGAGCAAACAGG